RNAcentral lists this ribosomal RNA (495 nucleotides) under uncultured bacterium. RNAcentral's name for it is "partial 16S ribosomal RNA". It matches the Rfam family "Bacterial small subunit ribosomal RNA", at positions 28 to 507 of the family's 1533-position model. The record is from RNAcentral.
GACGAACGCUGGCGGCGUGCCUAAUACAUGCAAGUAGAACGCUUAAGGAGGAGCUUGCUUCUCUGGAUGAGUUGCGAACGGGUGAGUAACGCGUAGGUAACCUGCCUGGUGGGGGGGAAUAACUGUUGAAAGGGUUAGCUACUACAGACGAAUAGAGGAUGUUCCUGGACAUUUUUUAAAACUUUCGAUUUGCAUCCCUACUAGAUGGACUUGAGUUGUUUUAGCUAUUUGGUGAGGUAACGGCUACCCAAGGGAACGGUACUUAGACGACCUGAGAGGGUGGUCGGCCACACUGGGACUGAGACACGGCCCAGACUCCUAAGGGAGGCAGCAGUAGGGGAUCUUUGGAAAUGGACGGAAGUCUGACCGAGCAACGCCGCGUGAGUGAAGAAGGUUCUCGGAUCGGAAAGCUCGGUUGUAAGAGAAGAACGAGUGUGAGAGUGGAAAGUUCACACUGUGACGGUAUCUUAACAGAAAGGGACGGCUAACUACGUG